This is a transfer RNA of 69 nucleotides. It matches the Rfam family "tRNA". From Rfam's summary of the family: Transfer RNA (tRNA) molecules are approximately 80 nucleotides in length. Their secondary structure includes four short double-helical elements and three loops (D, anti-codon, and T loops).
GCAAGUAUAGUUUAACAAAAACACUAGAUUGUGAAUCUAAUGAUAGAAAUCAAAAUUUUCUUACUUACC